RNAcentral lists this ribosomal RNA (409 nucleotides) under uncultured bacterium. Its description in RNAcentral is "bacterial SSU rRNA". It matches the Rfam family "Bacterial small subunit ribosomal RNA", at positions 30 to 441 of the family's 1533-position model. The record is from RNAcentral.
AUUGAACGCUGGCGGCAUGCUUUACACAUGCAAGUCGAACGGUAACAGGUCUUCGGAUGCUGACGAGUGGCGAACGGGUGAGUAAUGCAUCGGAACGUGCCCAGUCGUGGGGGAUAACGCAGCGAAAGCUGUGCUAAUACCGCAUACGAUCUAUGGAUGAAAGCGGGGGAUCGCAAGACCUCGCGCGAUUGGAGCGGCCGAUGUCAGAUUAGCUAGUUGGUGGGGUAAAGGCCCACCAAGGCGACGAUCUGUAGCUGGUCUGAGAGGACGAUCAGCCACACUGGGACUGAGACACGGCCCAGACUCCUACGGGAGGCAGCAGUGGGGAAUAUUGGACAAUGGGCGAAAGCCUGAUCCAGCAAUACCGCGUGUGUGAAGAAGGCCUUAGGGUUGUAAAGCACUUUCAAUU